GGGGCUGACUUGGAUUUCGACAGAUUUCUUGUCGCACAGAUAGCAUGCCAAGCGCUGCUUGUAAAACAGCAACAAAAAUAACUGUAAACAACGCAGAUUACGCUCCAGCUUACGCUAAAGCUGCGUGAGUUAAUCUCCUUUUGGAGCUGGACUGAUUAGAAUUUCUAGCGUUUUAAUCACUCCAUAACCUUAAGCUAGACGCUUUUAAAAGGUGGUUCGCCUUUUAAACUAAGAAACAAGAACUCUUGAAACUAUCUCAAGGUUUUAGAAAGUUGGACCAGAGCUAGUUUUAAGGCUAAAAAACUAACCAAUUUUCUAAGCAUUGUAGAAGUUUGUGUUUAGGACAAGAUUUUUGGACUGGGGUUCGAUUCCCCACAGCUCCACCA
RNAcentral lists this transfer-messenger RNA (386 nucleotides) under Helicobacter pylori. It matches the Rfam family "transfer-messenger RNA". Rfam says of the family: Bacterial tmRNA, also known as 10Sa RNA or SsrA, is named for its dual tRNA and mRNA-like properties. Its role is to liberate the mRNA from a stalled ribosome. The record is from RNAcentral. Lineage: Bacteria; Pseudomonadati; Campylobacterota; Epsilonproteobacteria; Campylobacterales; Helicobacteraceae. RNAcentral also lists the same sequence under 1 other name.